AACUAAAUCACUUAGGUAGUAACAUCAUUUAAACCUUACAAAAUGGCGGCAUUUCAUCUUAUUAGAGGAACAUGUUAUUUAAUCGAUAUUACACGCUUAUUCUCACUUAUUUUUAAAAUUUUAUAUACCUCCGUCCUAAAUCAAUUAUAAAAUAUUUUUAAACAAAAAUUCUUUAAGGGUAGGUAAAGGUGUAAACCAAAAAUUAGAUCUUAUGUGUUACACUAAACCAAAUUUAAGGAUCUUAUAAUUAAAAUUUAAUUAAAAAAGGAUUUAAAAGUAAUAUCUUAAUAAUAUUUAAAUUUGAAUAAGAAAAUAAAUGUGC
Molecule: ribosomal RNA, 322 nt
Filed under: Mimetidae sp. GH801
Lineage: Eukaryota; Metazoa; Arthropoda; Arachnida; Araneae; Mimetidae
Description: partial 12S ribosomal RNA
Source: RNAcentral